Molecule: long non-coding RNA, 438 nt
Organism: Myxocyprinus asiaticus (Chinese sucker)
Lineage: Eukaryota; Metazoa; Chordata; Actinopteri; Cypriniformes; Catostomidae
Exons: 3
Source: RefSeq, a predicted model, not a curated record
AUUUUUUGUAUUCAUAUUGUGUGUGCAUUUAUUUGGCAGGAAUAGCUGCACAACAAUUUAUAUCCAUUCCACAGAUUGAGGAUUCACCAUUUGGUUGAAGCGGCUUAUUCAAGCAACACAAAUGUAGGCGAGAUUCUAUUAUCCGCUGCCUCAUUAUCCUUCUGGGAGAAUCAUCUGAGGAGCUCAUCAAAGACUACCAGGAUGUCAGCAAAGACAUAAUCAAAGAUAGCUUCACUGAACAUGUGAUGAAGAUCAUUGUACUUGGCAGCACUGCAGCAGAGGAAGGCUCCACUCCAGCCGAUGUGAUCAUUGUCAUUGAGGGAAAUGAGGAGCUGGCUGGAUGUAAAUAUCUCACAGACGCGUGUCUUCUACUCAUGGGUUUAACCCUCAGGGGUCGACGGACGCGCCUGCUGGAUUUUUCCCUCAUAACAGCGCAAA